GGUGGCUAAUACCGCAUAACGUCGCAAGACCAAAGAGGGGGACCUUCGGGCCUCUUGCCAUCAGAUGUGCCCAGAUGGGAUUAGCUAGUUGGUGAGGUAACGGCUCACCAAGGCGACGAUCCCUAGCUGGUCUGAGAGGAUGACCAGCCACACUGGAACUGAGACACGGUCCAGACUCCUACGGGAGGCAGCAGUGGGGAAUAUUGCACAAUGGGCGCAAGCCUGAUGCAGCCAUGCCGCGUGUAUGAAGAAGGCCUUCGGGUUGUAAAGUACUUUCAGCGGGGAGGAAGGUGUUGUGGUUAAUAACCGCAGCAAUUGACGUUACCCGCAGAAGAAGCACCGGCUAACUCCGUGCCAGCAGCCGCGGUAAUACGGAGGGUGCAAGCGUUAAUCGGAAUUACUGGGCGUAAAGCGCACGCAGGCGGUCUGUCAAGUCGGAUGUGAAAUCCCCGGGCUCAACCUGGGAACUGCAUUCGAAACUGGCAGGCUUGAGUCUUGUAGAGGGGGGUAGAAUUCCAGGUGUAGCGGUGAAAUGCGUAGAGAUCUGGAGGAAUACCGGUGGCGAAGGCGGCCCCCUGGACAAAGACUGACGCUCAGGUGCGAAAGCGUGGGGAGCAAACAGGAUUAGAUACCCUGGUAGUCCACGCCGUAAACGAUGUCUACUUGGAGGUUGUGCCCUUGAGGCGUGGCUUCCGGAGCUAACGCGUUAAGUAGACCGCCUGGGGAGUACGGCCGCAAGGUUAAAACUCAAAUGAAUUGACGGGGGCCCGCACAAGCGGUGGAGCAUGUGGUUUAAUUCGAUGCAACGCGAAGAACCUUACCUGGUCUUGACAUCCACAGAACUUUCCAGAGAUGGAUUGGUGCCUUCGGGAACUGUGAGACAGGUGCUGCAUGGCUGUCGUCAGCUCGUGUUGUGAAAUGUUGGGUUAAGUCCCGCAACGAGCGCAAC
This 949-nucleotide ribosomal RNA is filed under the name Salmonella enterica. RNAcentral's name for it is "bacterial SSU rRNA". It matches the Rfam family "Bacterial small subunit ribosomal RNA", at positions 158 to 1102 of the family's 1533-position model. The record is from RNAcentral. Lineage: Bacteria; Pseudomonadati; Pseudomonadota; Gammaproteobacteria; Enterobacterales; Enterobacteriaceae.